This 478-nucleotide ribosomal RNA is filed under the name uncultured bacterium. RNAcentral's name for it is "partial 16S ribosomal RNA". It matches the Rfam family "Bacterial small subunit ribosomal RNA", at positions 28 to 523 of the family's 1533-position model. The record is from RNAcentral.
GACGAACGCUGGCGGCGUGCUUAACACAUGCAAGUCGAACGGUAAGGCCCUUCGGGGUACACGAGUGGCGAACGGGUGAGUAACACGUGGGUGAUCUGCCCUGCACUUCGGGAUAAGCCUGGGAAACUGGGUCUAAUACCGGAUAGGACCACUGCCUGCAUGGGUGGUGGUGGAAAGCUUUUGCGGUGUGGGAUGGGCCCGCGGCCUAUAAGCUUGUUGGUGGGGUGAUGGCCUACCAAGGCGACGACGGGUAGCCGGCCUGAGAGGGUGACCGGCCACACUGGGACUGAGAUACGGCCCAGACUCCUACGGGAGGCAGCAGUGGGGAAUAUUGCACAAUGGGCGCAAGCCUGAUGCAGCGACGCCGCGUGAGGGAUGACGGCCUUCGGGUUGUAAACCUCUUUCAGCACCGACGAUGCGCAAGUGACGGUAGGUGCAGAAGAAGGACCGGCCAACUACGUGCCAGCAGCCGCCGUAA